RNAcentral lists this ribosomal RNA (463 nucleotides) under uncultured bacterium. RNAcentral's name for it is "partial 16S ribosomal RNA". It matches the Rfam family "Bacterial small subunit ribosomal RNA", at positions 28 to 507 of the family's 1533-position model. The record is from RNAcentral.
GAUGAACGCUGACAGAAUGCUUAACACAUGCAAGUCGAUGGGGAAGUGGUGCUUGCACCAUGGCAACCAUGGCGGACGGGUGAGUAACGCGUAAGGGACUUACCUGCAGGACUGGGAUAACAGGGGGAAACUCCUGACAAGACCGGAUAAUGUCAUGGAGCUGCAUGGCUUUAUGAUGAAAGGAGACGCCUGCGGAGAGCCUUGCGUCCUAUUAGCUAGUUGGUGAGGUAAUGGCUCACCAAGGCGAAGAUAGGUAGCCGGCCUGAGAGGGUGGACGGCCACAAGGGGACUGAGAUACGGCACUUACUCAUGCGGGAGGCAGCAGUGGGGAAUAUUGGACAAUGGGGGCAACCCUGAUCCAGAAAUUCUGUGUGCACGAAGAAGGUUUUCGGAGUGUAAAGUGCUUUCAGCAGGGAAGAAGUAAGUGACGGUACCUGCAGAAGAAGCGACGGCUAAAUACGUG